Pezoporus flaviventris is the source of this 205-nucleotide long non-coding RNA. RefSeq lists it as uncharacterized. NCBI's taxonomy places the organism in Eukaryota, Metazoa, Chordata, Aves, Psittaciformes, Psittacidae. The transcript has 2 exons. The record is from RefSeq and is a predicted model, not a curated record.
AGUCUGAAACUUCCAAAGUAGUGACUUCUACUUUGUUUUCUCUUUAGUAAGACCACCAUAGGGAUGCCAUUAAUCUUAAAGCCAGUCUACUGACAACACAAGUUAACAGAAUCACAGAAUAGUUAGGAUUGGAAAAGAGCUUUAAGAUCAUCAAGUUAAGACAGAAUGAUCAGCAGUGAUAAAGAAUAAGUACUAUUUCCUUUUA